RNA transcript from Elephantulus edwardii (Cape elephant shrew), 401 nucleotides. It is a transcript of the gene named gamma-aminobutyric acid receptor-associated protein-like 1-like, with no coding region annotated. NCBI's taxonomy places the organism in Eukaryota, Metazoa, Chordata, Mammalia, Macroscelidea, Macroscelididae. The transcript has 2 exons. The record is from RefSeq and is a predicted model, not a curated record.
GAGGCAGGCCCCGUCCGGGGAUUUUAGAAACCCUGCGGUCCAUCAUGAAGUUCCAGUAUAAGGAGGAUCAUCCUUUUGAAUAUCGGAAAAAGGAAGGAGAAAAGAUCCGGAAGAAAUAUCCACACAGAGUCCUGGUGAUUGUGGAGAAGGCUCCCAAAGCCAGGGUGCCUGAUCUGGACAAGAGGAAGUAUUUAGUGCCCUCAGAUCUCACAGUUGGCCAAUUCUAUUUCUUAAUCCGGAAGAGGAUUCACCUGCAACCUGAGGACACCUUAUUCUUCUUUGUCAACAACACUAUCCCUCCCACUAGUGCUACCAUGGGCCAGCUGUAUGAGCUAGACUGAGAAAAUAAUUAUGAUAAACUAGCACCUUCUUUCUCUGAAACCAACAUUUUCAAACUCUGA